Molecule: ribosomal RNA, 253 nt
Filed under: uncultured bacterium
Lineage: Bacteria
Description: partial 16S ribosomal RNA
Rfam family: Bacterial small subunit ribosomal RNA
Source: RNAcentral
GACGAACCGUCCAAACGUUAUUCGGAAUUAUUGGGCUUAAAGGGUGCGUAGGCUGUGCAGUAAGUUGGGUGUGAAAUCCCUCGGCUCAACCGAGGAACUGCGCCGAAUACUGCUGUGCUAGAGGAAGAUAGGGGUAAGCGGAACUGAUGGUGGAGCGGUGAAAUGCGUUGAUAUCAUCAGGAACACCGGUGGCGAAGGCGGCUUACUGGAUCUUUUCUGACGCUGAUGCACGAAAGCUAGGGGAGCGAACAGG